GACGAACGCUGGCGGCGUGCUUAACACAUGCAAGUCGAACGGAAAGGCCUUGCUCUUGCGGGGUGCUCGAGUGGCGAAAGGGUGAGUAAAACGUGUGUAACCCGCCCUCGACUUUGGGAUAACAUCCGGAAACUGGGGCUAAUACCGGAUAGGAGCUCCUGCUGCACGGUGGGGGUUGGAAAGUUUCGGCGGUUGGGGAUGGACUCGCGGCUUAUCAGCUUGUUGGUGGGGUAGUGGCUUACCAAGGCUUUGACGGGUAGCCGGCCUGAGAGGGUGACCGGCCACAUUGGGACUGAGAUACGGCCCAGACUCCUACGGGAGGCAGCAGUGGGGAAUAUUGCACAAUGGGCGGAAGCCUGAUGCAGCAACGCCGCGUGCGGGAUGACGGCCUUCGGGUUGUAAACCGCUUUCGCCAGGGACGAAGCGUGAGUGACGGUAAUUGGUGAAGAAGCACCGGCUAACUACGUG
RNAcentral lists this ribosomal RNA (468 nucleotides) under uncultured bacterium. RNAcentral describes it as "partial 16S ribosomal RNA". It matches the Rfam family "Bacterial small subunit ribosomal RNA", at positions 28 to 507 of the family's 1533-position model. The record is from RNAcentral.